This 274-nucleotide ribosomal RNA is filed under the name uncultured bacterium. RNAcentral's name for it is "partial 16S ribosomal RNA". It matches the Rfam family "Bacterial small subunit ribosomal RNA", at positions 523 to 796 of the family's 1533-position model. The record is from RNAcentral.
AUACUGAGGGUGCAAGCGUUAAUCGGAAUUGCUGGGCGUAAAGCGCACGUAGGCGGUUUAUUAAGUCAGAUGUGAAAGCCCUGGGCUUAACCUGGGAACUGCAUUUGAGACUGGUAGGCUAGAGUAUGGUAGAGGAUAGUGGAAUUCCGGGUGUAGCGGUGAAAUGCGUAGAUAUCCGGAGGAACAUCAGUGGCGAAGGCGGCUAUCUGGACCAAUACCGACGCUGAGGUGUGAAAGCGUGGGGAGCGAACAGGAUUAGAAACCCCAGUAGUCC